AGUGAACGCUGGCGGUAGGCCUAACACAUGCCAGUCGAACGGCAGCACAGUAAGAGCUUGCUCUUACGGGUGGCGAGUGGCGGACGGGUGAGGAAUACAUCGGAAUCUACUUUUUCGUGGGGGAUAACGUAGGGAAACUUACGCUAAUACCGCAUACGACCUACGGGUGAAAGCAGGGGAUCUUCGGACCUUGCGCGAUUGAAUGAGCCGAUGUCGGAUUAGCUAGUUGGCGGGGUAAAGGCCCACCAAGGCGACGAUCCGUAGCUGGUCUGAGAGGAUGAUCAGCCACACUGGAACUGAGACACGGUCCAGACUCCUACGGGAGGCAGCAGUGGGGAAUAUUGGACAAUGGGCGCAAGCCUGAUCCAGCCAUACCGCGUGGGUGAAGAAGGCCUUCGGGUUGUAAAGCCCUUUUGUUGGGAAAGAAAAGCAGCAGGUUAAGACCCCGCUGUUCUGACGGUACCCAAAGAAUAAGCACCGGCUAACUUCGG
This 491-nucleotide ribosomal RNA is filed under the name uncultured bacterium. RNAcentral describes it as "partial 16S ribosomal RNA". It matches the Rfam family "Bacterial small subunit ribosomal RNA", at positions 29 to 506 of the family's 1533-position model. The record is from RNAcentral.